GAUGAAGAACGCAGCGAAAUGCGAUAAGUAAUGUGAAUUGCAGAAUUCAGUGAAUCAUCGAAUCUUUGAACGCACAUUGCGCCCGCCAGUAUUCUGGCGGGCAUGCCUGUUCGAGCGUCAUUUCAACCAUCAAGCCCCCGGCUUGUGUUGGGGACCUGCGGCUGCCGCAGGCCCUGAAAAGCAGUGGCGGGCUCGCUGUCACACCGAGCGUAGUAGCAUACAUCUCGCUCUGGGCGUGCUGCGGGUUCCGGCCGUUAAACCACCUUCAUAACCCAAGGUUGACCUCGGAUCAGGUAGGAAUACCCGCUGAACUUAAGCAUAUCAAUAAGCGGAGGA
RNAcentral lists this unclassified non-coding RNA (336 nucleotides) under soil metagenome. RNAcentral describes it as "partial contains 5.8S ribosomal RNA, internal transcribed spacer 2, and large subunit ribosomal RNA". The stretch from base 1 to 120 matches the Rfam family "5.8S ribosomal RNA", at positions 35 to 154 of the family's 154-position model. The record is from RNAcentral.